RNAcentral lists this ribosomal RNA (261 nucleotides) under uncultured Sneathia sp. RNAcentral describes it as "partial 16S ribosomal RNA". It matches the Rfam family "Bacterial small subunit ribosomal RNA", at positions 96 to 355 of the family's 1533-position model. Lineage: Bacteria; Fusobacteriati; Fusobacteriota; Fusobacteriia; Fusobacteriales; Leptotrichiaceae. The record is from RNAcentral.
UGGCGGACGGGUGAGUAACGUGUAAAGAACUUACCAUAUAGACUGGGAUAACAGGGGGAAACUUCUGAUAAUACUGGAUAAGUUAGUAGUAGCAUUACUAAGUAAUGAAAGGUAGCAAUACGCUAUAUGAGAGCUUUGCAUCCUAUUAGCUAGUUGGUGGGGUAAAAGCCUACCAAGGCGAUGAUAGGUAGCCGGCCUGAGAGGGUGGACGGCCACAAGGGGACUGAGAUACGGCCCUUACUCCUACGGGAGGCAGCAGCC